RNAcentral lists this long non-coding RNA (240 nucleotides) under Homo sapiens (human). Its description in RNAcentral is "HSALNT0325048". Lineage: Eukaryota; Metazoa; Chordata; Mammalia; Primates; Hominidae. The record is from RNAcentral.
UAAAGCAAGAAUAGGAAACCUGUGUUCUUAACCUCCAGAAAUGUGGAUUCACUACAGUUUGCAGACAGUAACUGCUUCCUUUAUAAUAGAAUUGUUCACUAAAUAAUUAGCCAUAGUCAAGUCAUGCAUACUGUACCAGAUUCUGCAUUUAGAACCCAGAGGAUGCCUUAAAGUAAUAUUGGGUCUUUCCAAUCACUCAACUGUGAAGUUGUCAAUAGGUAUUUCGAGUGAGAUUAUGAG